This 69-nucleotide transfer RNA is filed under the name Pachydactylus punctatus. RNAcentral describes it as "tRNA-Gly". The record is from RNAcentral. Lineage: Eukaryota; Metazoa; Chordata; Lepidosauria; Squamata; Gekkonidae.
ACUUUCUUAGUACAGACGUACAGGCGAUUUCCACUCACCAACCCCUAGCAAUAACUCUAGGAGAAAGUA